This 468-nucleotide ribosomal RNA is filed under the name uncultured bacterium. RNAcentral describes it as "partial 16S ribosomal RNA". It matches the Rfam family "Bacterial small subunit ribosomal RNA", at positions 28 to 507 of the family's 1533-position model. The record is from RNAcentral.
GACGAACGCUGGCGGCGUGCUUAACACAUGCAAGUCGAACGGACAGGCCCUGCUUUUGUUGGUUGCUCGAGUGGCGAACGCGUGAGUAACACGUGUGUAACCUCCCCUUGACUUUCGGAUAACUUCUGGAAACUGCGGCUAAUACCGCAUAUGAUCUCCUGCUGCAUGUUGGGGGUUGGAAAGUUUCGGCGGUUGGGGCUAUACUCGCUGCUUAUCCGCUUGUUGGUCGGGUAGUUGCUUACCAAGGCUUUGACGGGUAGCCUACCUGAGAGGGUGAACGGGCACAAGGGGACUGAGAUACGGAGCAGAAGCCAACGGGAGGCAGCAGGGGGGAGUAUUGCACAGUGGGGGGAAGUCAGAGGCAAAAAAGUCGCGUGCGGGAUGACGGGUUACGGGGGGUAAACAGAUGUCGACUGUGAUGAAGAGGGAGUGACGGUAAUGGGUAAAGAAGCAACGGCUAACUACGUG